RNAcentral lists this long non-coding RNA (202 nucleotides) under Brassica napus (rape). RNAcentral describes it as "long non-coding RNA (BNAP_LNC025100)". Lineage: Eukaryota; Viridiplantae; Streptophyta; Magnoliopsida; Brassicales; Brassicaceae. The record is from RNAcentral.
AACUCUUCAUACUUUCCAACACCCACAACCACAACUGCAGUUUUGCCUCUCCCACUGAUUUCACCUCUGAAAAGGCUCGCCUGCUAUGCUCUAAGACUUUACCCUUCUCAUCUUUUACAAUCCAAGAGGCUCCCAUACUCUCACCUCGGCUUGACCAGUCCAUAUCAAACUCACAUUGAACCCAACCAACCUAUAUAUUCUG